GUGGUGUGGGGGAUGUUGUGGUGUGUCGAUGUUGUUGCGAGAUGGUGGUUAUUGGGACUGCCUUAUUAAUCUUGGUGCCUUUGAUUAUCCUCUUAUCACGCAAGAAAAUCUGAUUCAUACAUUUUCUUCACUACAGAGAGAUUUUAAUUUUAUUGAUCAUACAAGUAUUCCCGGAUGGAAAGAAUAAGAUAAAGUUGAUUGGUAAAGUUUGAGAUGCAUUGUUUGAAAGAAGCAAUCUGAAUCAUCUCUCUCAGAUCCUAUAUCGCAUAUGCUAAUGAUUUUUAAUCGACUUUGGUGAUUCGACUUGGUCACACUUUGCCACAAACGGGUCAAAUGGUUAAAUUUUCAUGGGCUUUUGGAAAUAAUGUCCAAGAAUUCAAUGAUUUGAAACGAGGAUCCUGCACUUCGUCAGGAAAUCGACCUUGAAGAUGAAAGAGUUGCAGGCACAUUGCAUUCUGUAUAGAUUGUGUAGUUUUAAUUGUAAAGAUUUACACCUGUGUUGCAAAACUCAAAUUAUAUGGCCUUUUGCUACAUCUUGCCGUAUAGCAUAGGCAUUAGUUAUCCGAUGAGAAACCAAAGGGCAAGGCAACCAUACAUUAUCAGCUUCGGCUUGCAGGUGGUAACUUUGUUCUAAGUGUGGCAAUCAUGGGAGAAGGAUAUCAACAUGAAAGAAAUGGAACAACAGUUGCAUGAGCAUGUGGGUCUACUAAGACAGAGUGAAUUAAUAAGAAUAAAUGCCAAGAAGGAGCUUAAAGAAAUGGAACUACAGUCACGAUUGGAUUGGCCUCAUAUGAUGAGGUAACAUUUCACAAUAAUAAUCAAAUAGAUAUAAUAAUUUACUACUUAUAUAUUUUUUUGGAACAAGGUGACUCUAUAUCACUGAGACAACCUUUAUCCACAUGCCAUUAAUCUCUUUUUCAAAAUUUGGAUCUCAAACCUUUUAUUUGGACUUUGUUUUAUAAGCAUUUAACGCCCCGUUUGCGGUAUGCGCCUAUAAUGUAUAUAUGUGUGGGCGUUCGGGGUGCAAAAGUGAAAGUACACUAAUUUUAACAUUAUUUUACUAAUUUCGUGAAAGUAACGUUAAAAAGGGAGAUGGUUAAUUAUGCAUCAUGUGGUGGCGUUGAUAGCCGAAAGACAAGGGGGUACAUGCACUAAUCGGCCUUUGUCUCAAUUGUUGAGUGUUAUGUGCCUUAUGUCCAAAGCUUGACGCAAAACUACUAUUUAGCCAGGGGUCUCACUGGAAGCAGCCGCUUUAUUCCUAUGGGGUAGAGGUAAGGCGGUCUACAUCUUACCCUUCCCAUACCCUACCUUAGAUUUGCUAUUGGUGGGAUUUACUAAGUAUGAUGAUGAUGAUGAUGAUCAUUUUAUACGCAUUUAAAAUGUCAAUGUGGGUUAAUCGAUUUAUUGCUUUAGUUUAUAUAUGCAUCUAAAAUGUCAAUCAUUCUUUAUUCUUUAUGAAUUCCUACUUCAAUUUAUUAUUUUAGUUUAAGAAUAACUAUUUUAUAACAGGUUUUAGAAGCUUACAAAGUAUCAUGUGAAAAAUAUGUUAUAUUUUUCCUAGGCUAUGGCCUCUACACCUAUCUUUAUUCUUUCAUGCUUGACUAUGUAUAAUGAACUAUGUAUAUUGUCAUAAUUUCACAUAAAAGAAAUAACGAUAUCUAAUUCUCUUGGUGUUAAUGAGCUCGUGAUUCCUGCAAUACCUGAACUUUACAAAACAUGGACCAAAGUGCUUGGCUUCAAGCAACUUGAUGAAUCGUUGAGGCAUGCAAUGAAGGGUAUGCGUUUGAUAGUGUUUCCUGUUAAAGAUAUAUGCUUCGCCAACCUCUCCUAAAGAAUCAGUUUGCUGAUAAGAAUCUUAUUUCAGUGCAGGUUGAAGUGAAAAGGAUACUUCCCAGAGAGGAUACACAGGGAAGUUGAGGUGUAUCAAGAACAAAGAAAAUAUUUGUUGGUGAUGAAUUGGGGGAAUAGUUUUCAAUAUAUGGUGGUAUUUCAGUGCAGGUUGAAGUGAAAAGGAUACUUCCCAAAGAGGAUACACAGGGAAGUUGAGGUGUAUCAAGAACAAAGAAAAUAUUUGUUGGUGAUGAAUUGGGGGAAUAGUUUUCCAUAUAUGGUGGUAUUUCAGUGCAGGUUGAAGUGAAAAGGAUACUUCCCAGAGAGGAUACACAGGGAAGUUGAGGUGUAUCAAGAACAAAGAAAAUAUUUGUUGGUGGUAUAUCAUACAGUUUCUUGUGUUACAGUCUAUGGAUUAAUUAAAUCAUGUAUGGAUAAUAAACUUUGUAACUUUAAUUUGUAGAUGAAUUGGGGGAAUAGUU
This 2312-nucleotide long non-coding RNA is filed under the name Helianthus annuus (common sunflower). RNAcentral describes it as "hypothetical non coding rna". Lineage: Eukaryota; Viridiplantae; Streptophyta; Magnoliopsida; Asterales; Asteraceae. The record is from RNAcentral.